Molecule: ribosomal RNA, 469 nt
Filed under: uncultured bacterium
Lineage: Bacteria
Description: bacterial SSU rRNA
Rfam family: Bacterial small subunit ribosomal RNA
Source: RNAcentral
AUUGAACGCUGGCGGUAUGCUUUACACAUGCAAGUCGAACGGCAGCACGGGGCAACCUGGUGGCGAGUGGCGAACGGGUGAGUAAUAUAUCGGAACAUGUCCGGAAGUGGGGGAUAACGUAGCGAAAGUUACGCUAAUACCGCAUAUGCCCUGAGGGGGAAAGGAGGGGAUCGUAAGACCUUUCGCUUUCGGAGUGGCCGAUAUCGGAUUAGCUAGUAGGUGAGGUAAAGGCUCACCUAGGCGACGAUCCGUAGCUGGUCUGAGAGGACGACCAGCCACACUGGAACUGAGACACGGUCCAGACUCCUACGGGAGGCAGCAGUGGGGAAUUUUGGACAAUGGGCGCAAGCCUGAUCCAGCCAUACCGCGUGAGUGAAGAAGGCCUUCGGGUUGUAAAGCUCUUUCAGCCGGAAAGAAAUCGCACUUACUAAUACUAAGUGUGGAUGACGGUACCGGAAGAAGAAGCACC